Molecule: ribosomal RNA, 467 nt
Filed under: uncultured bacterium
Lineage: Bacteria
Description: partial 16S ribosomal RNA
Rfam family: Bacterial small subunit ribosomal RNA
Source: RNAcentral
GACGAACGCUGGCGGCGUGCUUAACACAUGCCAGUCGAACGGAAAGGCCCUGCUUUUGUGGGGUGCUCGAGUGGCGAACGGGUGAGUAACACGUGAGUAACCUGCCCUUGACUUUGGGAUAACUUCAGGAAACUGGGGCUAAUACCGGAUAGGUGCUCCUGCUGCAUGGUGGGGGUUGGAAAGUUUCGGCGGUUGGGGAUGGACUCGCGGCUUAUCAGCUUGUUGGUGGGGUAGUGGCUUACCAAGGCUUUGACGGGUAGCCGGGCUGAGGGGGUGACCGACAACAUGGGUACGAGAAGACGGCCCAUACUCCGGGGGGAGGCAGCGGGGGGUAUUAUUGAACAAGGGGCGGAAGCCUGAGGCAGCAACGCGUGGGGCGGGAGGACGUCCUGCGGGUUGAAAACCUCUUACGCCGGGGACGAUGCUUUGUGACGGUAAAUGGGUAAGAAGGCACGGCUAACUACCUG